GACGAACCGAGCGAACGUUGUUCGGAAUCACUGGGCUUAAAGGGCGCGUAGGCGGGCUGUCAAGUCUGGGGUGAAAUCCCGCGGCUCAACCGUGGAACUGCCUCAGAUACUGACGGCCUCGAGGGGGGUAGGGGCGAGCGGAACGGAUGGUGGAGCGGUGAAAUGCGUUGAUAUCAUCCGGAACUCCGGUGGCGAAGGCGGCUCGCUGGACCUCUUCUGACGCUGAGGCGCGAAAGCUAGGGGAGCAAACGGG
Molecule: ribosomal RNA, 253 nt
Filed under: uncultured bacterium
Lineage: Bacteria
Description: partial 16S ribosomal RNA
Rfam family: Bacterial small subunit ribosomal RNA
Source: RNAcentral